AACUAUAACGGUCCUAAGGUAGCGAAAUUCCUUGGCAGGUAAGUUCUGACCCGCACGAAAGGUGUAACGAUUUGGGCGCUGUCUCGGCAGCAGACUCGGUGAAAUCUUAGUACCUGUGAAAAUGCAGGUUACCCGCAACUAGACGGAAAGACCCCAUGGAGCUUUACUGCAGCCUGAUAUUGAAUUCUGGUCAUACAUGUACAGGAUAGGUGGGAGACAAAGAGACGUGCACGCCAGUGUACGAGGAGUCGACGUUGGGAUACCACUCUUGUGUGACCGGGGUUCUAACCUGGUAUCGAGAACAGGUACGGGGAGAGUGUCAGGUGGGCAGUUUGACUGGGGCGGUCGCCUCCCAAAGAGUAACGGAGGCGCCCAAAGGUACGCUCAGAUUGGAUGGAAACCAAUCGACGAGUGCAAUUGCAGAAGCGUGCUUGACUGUGAGACAGACAAGUCGAACAGGGACGAAAGUCGGGAAUAGUGAUCCGGCGGUGCCGAAUGGAAGGGCCGUCGCUCAACGGAUAAAAGCUACCCUGGGGAUAACAGGCUGAUCUCGCCCAAGAGUUCACAUCGACGGCGAGGUUUGGCACCUCGAUGUCGGCUCAUCGCAUCCUGGAGCUGGAUUCGGUUCCAAGGGUUGGGCUGUCCGCCCAUUAAAGCGGUACGCGAGCUGGGUUCAGAACGUCGUGAGACAGUUCGGUCCCUAUCUGUUGUGGGCGAAGGAGAUCUGCGGAGAGCUGUCCUCAGUACGAGAGGACCGGGAUGGACCUACCGCUGGUGCACCGGUUGUUCCGCCAGGGGCAUAGCCGGGUAGCUAAGUAGGGAAAGGAUAAGCGCUGAAAGCAUCUAAGCACGAAGCCUACUCCAAGAUGAGAUCUCCCAUUCGCAAGAAGUAAGACCCCUUAAAGACGAUAAGGUAGAUAGGCCAGGGAUGGAAGUGCAGUGAUGUACGGAGUUGACUGGUACUAAUCGGUCGAGGACUUAAUCAG
RNAcentral lists this ribosomal RNA (986 nucleotides) under human gut metagenome. Its description in RNAcentral is "bacterial LSU rRNA". It matches the Rfam family "Bacterial large subunit ribosomal RNA", at positions 1938 to 2925 of the family's 2925-position model. The record is from RNAcentral.